GAAUCUUCCACAAUGGGCGAAAGCCUGAUGGAGCAACGCCGCGUGAGUGAAGAAGGUUUUCGGAUCGUAAAACUCUGUUGUAAGGGAAGAACAAGUACAGUAGUAACUGGCUGUACCUUGACGGUACCUUAUUAGAAAGACACGGCUAACUACGUGCCAGCCGCCGCGGUAAUACGUAGGUGGCAAGCGUUGUCCGGAAUUAUUGGGAUUGAAGCUCGCGCAGGCGGUCCUUUAAGUCUGAUGUGAAAGCCCACGGCUCAACCGUGGAGGGUCAUUGGAAACUGGGGGACUUGAGUGCAGAAGAGGAAAGUGGAAUUCCAAGUGUAGCGGUGAAAUGCGUAGAGAUUUGGAGGAACACCAGUGGCGAAGGCGACUUUCUGGUCUGUAACUGACGCUGAGGCGCGAAAGCGUGGGGAGCAAACAGG
Molecule: ribosomal RNA, 425 nt
Filed under: uncultured bacterium
Lineage: Bacteria
Description: bacterial SSU rRNA
Rfam family: Bacterial small subunit ribosomal RNA
Source: RNAcentral